UCCUGCCUGCCCAGCUGUGAAUCUGUGUGUUUCUCUCUCCCCAUUCCCUAUCCCCAGUUCUCACAGCUGGUGAACGGGGAUGUGGCUCUGCUGGGCGGGGGCCUCUACAUGCUCUGCACUGAUGGGCAGCAGCUAUUGCGACAGGUCCUGCACCCCGAGGCCUCCAGGAAGAACCUGGUGCUCCCCGACAUGUUCUUCUCCUUCUAUGACCUCCGAAGAGAAUUCCAUACGCAGCAUCCAAGCACUUGCCCUGCCAGGGACCUCACUGUGGCCACCAUGGCACAGGGUAUCUGUGACCCAGCAGGGUUAGGGUGGAGAAGCCACUGUGGGUAUAUGUGUCUGAGUAUGUGCAUGCUGUGGGUGGGUAAUAUGGACACAUGCAAGACUGCAUUAUCUGCGAAGUCCCUGAGUGUACCCGUGUCUUUGUGUCUGUGCUAGGAUGAGUUUGGAAUGUGGGGUAUGUGUCUAUCUAUGUCUGGACUGGGAAUCUGUAAGUGCACACAUGAACUGGGCCAAAACAAAUGUGUAUAUGCUGGUCUCCAGCAUGUGUCUAUGGAGGGAAGUUGGGCCCAGGGGUAAACAGGAUUAGUGCUUACACUAAGAUGUCUUCACUGUCACUUCUCUGCCCAUAGAUUUAGGACUGGAGACAGAUGCCACAGAGGAUGACUUUGGGGUCUGGGAAGUCAAGACAAUGGUAGCUGUUAUCCUCCACCUACUCAA
RNAcentral lists this small RNA (720 nucleotides) under Pongo abelii (Sumatran orangutan). Its description in RNAcentral is "retained intron". The record is from RNAcentral. Lineage: Eukaryota; Metazoa; Chordata; Mammalia; Primates; Hominidae.